Molecule: unclassified non-coding RNA, 480 nt
Filed under: Bacillus subtilis
Lineage: Bacteria; Bacillati; Bacillota; Bacilli; Caryophanales; Bacillaceae
Description: partial contains 16S ribosomal RNA, 16S-23S ribosomal RNA intergenic spacer, and 23S ribosomal RNA
Rfam family: Bacterial small subunit ribosomal RNA (bases 1-202)
Source: RNAcentral
UCGCUAGUAAACGCGGAUCAGCAUGCCGCGGUGAAUACGUUCCCGGGCCUUGUACACACCGCCCGUCACACCACGAGAGUUUGUAACACCCGAAGUCGGUGGGGUAACCGUAAGGAGCCAGCCGCCUAAGGUGGGACAGAUGAUUGGGGUGAAGUCGUAACAAGGUAGCCGUAUCGGAAGGUGCGGCUGGAUCACCUCCUUUCUAAGGAAAAUUGCUUGAACCUCGUGUUCAGCAACAAACAACGUGACGUCGUUUUGUUCAGUUUUGAAGGUUCAUUAUGAACUUUCAACAAGAAGUCUUUUGAUCACAUCGUGAUCAUGAGGCAGUUGUUCUUUGAAAACUAGAUAGCAAGAAUGUUAAGGAAAACAAAGUGUAACACUUUUUGAAAUAACCAAUACGGUUAAGUUAGAAAGGGCGCACGGUGGAUGCCUUGGCACUACGGAGCCGAUGAAGGACGGGACUAACACCGAUAUGCAAAA